This 88-nucleotide small RNA is filed under the name Kaistella antarctica. Its description in RNAcentral is "Chryseobacterium antarcticum Flavo-1 RNA". It matches the Rfam family "Flavo-1 RNA". The record is from RNAcentral. Lineage: Bacteria; Pseudomonadati; Bacteroidota; Flavobacteriia; Flavobacteriales; Weeksellaceae.
GUUGCGACCCGACUUGAACGGAAAUCCUUUUUUCGGCAGGCCUUUGGAAAGGGCGAAAAAAGAUUGGGAGUGGAAGGCGGAAAUGUUC